This is a long non-coding RNA of Mastomys coucha (southern multimammate mouse), 609 nucleotides long. RefSeq lists it as uncharacterized. The transcript is spliced from 2 exons. The record is from RefSeq and is a predicted model, not a curated record. NCBI's taxonomy places the organism in Eukaryota, Metazoa, Chordata, Mammalia, Rodentia, Muridae.
GAGAAUUUAGACAGUAUAGCGUACAGAUUGUCUCCAAGUAGCUAUAACUGUCAUCUCACGAAGAAUUAUGACAUGAACAUGUUGUCUUCUGAGUGGCUCCACCCAGCAACUGACUAGGACAAAUACAGACACAGCCAAACAGUGGAUAGAUCUUUGGAGCUCUUGUGGAAGGAUAGGUGGAAGGAUUGCAGGCCCAGAAAAGAAUAGGAACUCCACAGGAAGAAUAACAGAGUCAACUAUCCUGGACCCUUGAAGAUUUCAGAGUAUGAACCACUAAGCAAAGAUCAUAGAUACAGUGGACCUAUGCCUCUCUGAACCUAUGGAUUGGACAUGCAGCUUGGUCUUCAUGUGGUCCCUGACCAACCGAAAUAUAAGCUAUCCUAUUACAUGGGCUACAUGUAUGUGGGAUAUAUUCCUCUAACAGCCUUGUCUGGCUUUACUGGAAGAGGAAGUGCCUAGCCUCUCAGAGACUUUAAAUUCCAAGGCAAGGCUCCACCUAAUCAGAGGAAAAUGGAAAAGGGAUAAAGGAAGGAUUGUGGGAGGGGCUUACUGGGAGAGGGGUAUUAUGGCAGCCAUAGUUGAUAAUUAAUAAAACGACAGAGUGAGUAA